CCUACGGGAGGCAGCAGUGAGGAAUAUUGGUCAAUGGGCGUAAGCCUGAACCAGCCAAGUCGCGUGAGGGACGACGGCCCUACGGGUUGUAAACCUCUUUUGCCGGGGGACAAACGGCGGCACGCGUGCCGUCCUGAGGGUACCCGGAGAAAAAGCAUCGGCUAACUCCGUGCCAGCAGCCGCGGUAAUACGGAGGAUGCGAGCGUUAUCCGGAUUUAUUGGGUUUAAAGGGUGCGUAGGCGGGAUGCCAAGUCAGCGGUCAAAUACGGGGGCUCAAACUGCGUCCGCCGUUGAAACUGGCGUUCUUGAGUGGGCGAGAAGUACGCGGAAUGCGUGGUGUAGCGGUGAAAUGCAUAGAUAUCACGAGGAACCCCGAUUGCGAAGGCAGCCUGCCGGGGUGCGACUGACGCUGAGGCUCGAAGGUGCGGGUAUCAAACAGGAUUAGAUACCCUAGUAGUC
This 459-nucleotide ribosomal RNA is filed under the name uncultured bacterium. RNAcentral describes it as "partial 16S ribosomal RNA". It matches the Rfam family "Bacterial small subunit ribosomal RNA", at positions 338 to 795 of the family's 1533-position model. The record is from RNAcentral.